ACGGGGAAUUAGGGUUCGAUUCCGGAGAGGGAGCCUGAGAAACGGCUACCACAUCUAAGGAAGGCAGCAGGCGCGCAAAUUACCCAAUCCUAAUACAGGGAGGUAGUGACAAGAAAUAACAAUACAGAGCCUUACGGUUUUGUAAUUGGAAUGAGUUAAGUAUAAACCCCUUAACAAGUAUCAAUUGGAGGGCAAGUCUGGUGCCAGCAGCCGCGGUAAUUCCAGCUCCAAUAGCGUAUAUUAAAGUUGUUGCAGUUAAAAAGCUCGUAGUUAAUUUUCUGUUAAUUUUUAUAUACAAUACUACGGUAUUUAUAUAAUAUUAACAUAAUUCAUAUUACUUUUUAGUAUAUGAAACUUUACUUUGAGAAAAUUAGAGUGCUUAAAGCAGGCUAUUGCCUUGAAUACUCCAGCAUGGAAUAAUAUUAAGGAUUUUUAUUCUUCUUAUUGGUUCUAGAAUAAAAAUAAUGAUUAAUAGGGACAGUUGGGGGCAUUUGUAUUUAACAGUCAGAGGUGAAAUUCUUAGAUUUGUUAAAGACAAACUACUGCGAAAGCAUUUGCCAAGGAUGUUUUCAUUAAUCAAGAACGAAAGUUAGGGGAUCGAAGACGAUCAGAUACCGUCGUAGUCUU
RNAcentral lists this ribosomal RNA (627 nucleotides) under Cryptosporidium ryanae. Its description in RNAcentral is "SSU rRNA". It matches the Rfam family "Eukaryotic small subunit ribosomal RNA", at positions 362 to 1027 of the family's 1831-position model. Lineage: Eukaryota; Apicomplexa; Conoidasida; Eucoccidiorida; Cryptosporidiidae. The record is from RNAcentral.